Long non-coding RNA from Lolium perenne, 441 nucleotides. RefSeq lists it as uncharacterized. NCBI's taxonomy places the organism in Eukaryota, Viridiplantae, Streptophyta, Magnoliopsida, Poales, Poaceae. The record is from RefSeq and is a predicted model, not a curated record.
CUACUUUUUAAUAGAACAAAGCAAUGGUCCAAGCUUCGUCUUCAUCCACCCGCAUCUCUUCAAUAACUGAUGAUCUUAUCGCCCCUCUCCCCCUUACCUGCAACAAGGGAUACAUCAGAUGGUAUGUAUCAAGGACGGAGCUGAAUCCAGGUCGUCACUUCUACACUUGCGAGCGAAAAGAGAUCCGUGAGUGCAUUUUCUGGGAGUGGGAGGAAGACUACAUCGCUUUCCUCCGCGCAAGGUGGAUCAGUGUUUUUGGGGCGAAUGACGGACAAGCAGAGUUCACGAGAAAAAGCCUAAGCAACCAGGCCGACAUCAAAAACUUGCUUAUCCUGACUCUUGUAGCAGCAUGUUGUGUUGUAGCAGCGUGUUCGGGCUGGUUUUAGUUUCAGAUCUUGUAAUCACGCAACCUGAAUGAUGUUUUUUAGUAGUUUCAGGUUU